UUCAGGUCACACCCUUCUCAUGGGGAAUGGCUUUUGCUGACUUGGUUUAUUUGCGUGCACUGCCACGUUGGAAUCAUCUGUGCUGAGGAGUGGGCAUGAGGACAGGUGCUUCUUUGUUGACUACCAUUGUGUGCACCUGCAGACUACUCGUAACUGCUCUCUCCUAUGCAGUGGACACAUGAGGUACUGUGCAGCUGGCACUAGAGUAUCUGUGGCUUUUGCUGCCCAAAACAGCCCAUUCACAGUUUUGUAUUUAUUUGGAGAAUAAUGCUGGUGGUGUAUAUGCUGGUGUAUUCUUUUUUUUUUUUUUUUUCAGUUGUAGUUGGACACAGUAUAUCUUAUUUAUUUAUUUUUAUGUGGUGCUGAGGAUCAAACCCAGGGCCUCACACAUGCUAGGCGAGUGCCCUACCCCUGAGCCACAAUCCCAGCCUCUAUGCUGGUAUAUUCUAAGGUUUGUUUAGGUUUGCCUGCUCUUUGGUUACUUGAACAAUGAGGUUUUUGUUCUGAUUUAGUGUUUAGUGUGGUUCAUAAUGCACAGUAGUUCUUCAUUAGUUGUCAUUAAUGAAAAGUGGACUCCCAUGACUGUUCAUUUCUAAGGGGUAAACAUCUGUUUUGUUGUAAAAAUAAAAGUAAGUCCAUGUCACCAUCCUAAUUGUGUACUUAUUGCAGGUUUUAGGGACAAAGCUGUGGGUAUGCAUUAUGAUAUGGCUUCAGUGAUGAAUAAGAGAGCAAUCACAUCCUUACUCUAAAGUAGAGAAAUAGAGGGGUAAACAAGGUGCCAACUCUGGGGAUGAGGAAUUCUGGGGUUUGCAGGGACACCUGUGAUCUAGGAAGUUGGCCUGAAGCAGUGGUGUGUCUGGAGGGGAAACACUCUCUUUUCCCUGGCCGUUUGCAAGCCAUUGUGCAUGGUUCAGGCACAUAGGAUCUCAGAUCUCCAUCUCCCUAGGAAUUGUCUGAAGGUUGAUGGGUUUUCUGCCGAGUGGACUGGGAUUGGAAAAUCAUGCUGCUUUCUGAUGAACACAAGAUCCUCCCUGUCAUUUGUCACCAUUCUUCACUUAAUAUGAAUCUGAUGAGUUCAAGAUACUUUUUUUAUGGCUCCGUCAUUUGUAAUUUGUGCAAACUAGGCUUUGCUUCUAAUUUUGCUUUUUAAGUUCUCUGAAGGUUACAUAUGCAAAGUGCCUCAGGAACAGUUGUUUUGAUAUUAUGCUUCUUAACAAUGUCGUUUUUAGCCCAAGAAGCUAAUUACUAGGGAAAGAAUACAGAGCAGGGAGAGAAGGAGGUGGAGCCAAUGUCCUGGAGGGGUUAUUGAGAGAAUGGCAAUCAUAAGGUAGAAAGAACAUAUGUUAUUUUUACUGAAAUUUGUUUGAAAACUUUUAUAAACCAGAAAAUGUUAAUAGUUCAAAUAUAAUUAUUAAAGGAUUUUCCCAUCUGCCUCAUAAGCGUUGGCUUGGUGUCCUGACUAUCCAUGGAAUGAUGCACUGAAGGGAACCCAUUUUCCUACCUGGAGAAGCAGCAGUGGGUACCCACCUUUACCAUGGCUUUUGAGGCAUCAGUGGCAUGAGAGUAAGUCACUGGACUGUGUAGGGUAGGGGAAGACACAGGAAAGUAAGACUUCUAGAAGAGGCUUAGAAGCCUGGCCAUCUAAGUUGGCACCUGAACUUUAAUAUGCUUGAACUUGAAAGCUGCAAACAUUAUUUGGAAAGGUAAUUAUGAUAAUUAUGAGACCAGUUCUUCAAGGCAGCUUUUCCCCCUCAAGAACAGGACCUUAGGUUGGAUGUCAGUGGGAGGAGAGCAUAAUGUUCCUGUUAGCAUUCCGCAGAAAGUAGAUUUCACCAUUGAGGGAAAUAUUUUUUAUUGAUUAAUGAUCUGGACUUGUUUGGACUUGUUAUGAAAUCAGGAAAUGGCUAUUGUAGGCUUGACGUGUGAAACAAAGUGCAAAACUGAUAAGAUUAAUCAAAGCAAAACACAAUAUAAUGUCAAAACCAGAAAGGUAUUUCUGAAGCUCAAGGAAUUAAUAAGAGGUAGUAAAUAGGAGAGGUAAGCUGAGUAUAAAUGAACAAAGUGGUAAUGCUUUAGAAAGAUAUAUCAGCAAAAUGUAUUUUUGUCAAGAUAAAAAUAAUCUAAAUCUGCAAAAAUGUAAUAAGCCAGUUAGAGAUAUCAUAAAUAUUUUUUGAUUGUUUUGGGUAAUGCAAAAGUAUCUGGAGAAUUAAAAAAAAGUAUCUGUAAAUAUCAUUGAGAAAUAAAGAAGUACUGAGCAGUAGGCAUGGCAUGAUUGCAAUUUGAUGAAGAUAGCCAUUUGAUGAGAAAUACUGGAAAGACAUAUUUCAUAGUGUUCAUAGUAUAGUGCUCCAGGGAGGCUGUAGGCAGGGGCCAGGCAAGGGAGAAUGCUGUAUGGAGUCCUAUUUUAAAACAUGUUAGUUUUGGUGUGGUGGUUAAUUUUUCAUAAUCUCUGUACAGAAAGAGUUGUUUCUGGCAGUCAGAGGUGAGAGUAGAGAAGUAAUGGAGGCUGCUGUUUCAUAAUGCUUAUCUUGCUCAGACCCCAGUGGGUGAGGAGUGGGAGGCCUUGCUGCAGACUCACCCAGUGUACAUGAUGUAGUGCUAGCAGACUCAUAGCCUCCUUGCCACGUGUCCUUAUGACCUCCCACUGUGCUUUCUUGUGUGCUUACUGUUAGAGUAGCCCCCUGAAUGCUUGGUGAAUAAACAGGGCAACCAUUGUGUUCCAGCUUAGCUGGGUGUUUAGCUCGGCAUAUGCUUUAGUUUACUAUGGGAAUGUAAUUUGUUUUUGCUGCAUGUACUUGUUCAGGUGUAGUAAUAGUCAUGGUAGUAGUCCAAAGCAGGAUGCUCUCAGACUUGUUUUCCUGCCUCGCCUGUCCUGCUUGCCUGGCUUUUCUUGGAGAGUUGGGAUUGAAUUACUCCAACACAGCAGAGAGGUGACUGGCUCCAUAAAAGUCAUCUUUCCUGAUGCAGGUAGACUCACCAACAGAAGCUGCCCAGGCAGGGAGACCUCUUUUGAAAAGCUUCCCAUUUUCACCCAGCAGCCCUACCUAUAUGAGCUCCACCCCUGUGGAAUUCCCUCUUGGAACAACUCCGUGCAGGCAGCCUGUUGAGGAGUCAAGUCAGUGCUUCUCCAUGCUUCACAUCAGCCCCACACCUUGAUGCGCAUCGAUGCUGUACAUUCUGACAUGCUGCUAUAGGCAGUGAGGGUAGAAGGCACCCUCCUCCCUGCCUCAGAAAAAUUGCUCUGGUCACUGUGUGAGGAAUGAAUUGGAAGAAGCUAACCCAGAGACCAGGAGCCAUUAGGUUUCCAAGCAGACAUUCAUGCAGAUCGCUGGUGCAUCUAGAAGAGCAGAGCUUCAGGUCCAUGGGGUGGCCAGCAGCAUUGUAUUCACUGGGGUUUCCCAAGUGUCUGGAAUGGUGGAUGCUCAGAAAUAUGGCAGUUUUGCCAAUUAAAGAGUCUUUUGGGUCAAAAGUUUCUAUUUUUAGUCUGGAAUGGUUGGGGAGAACCGGCCUUCUGUUGAAAUAAAGUACUUGGAGAGAUUUGUCUGAA
Marmota monax (woodchuck) is the source of this 3547-nucleotide long non-coding RNA. RefSeq lists it as uncharacterized. The transcript is spliced from 2 exons. The record is from RefSeq and is a predicted model, not a curated record. Lineage: Eukaryota; Metazoa; Chordata; Mammalia; Rodentia; Sciuridae.